GGAAUGUGGCUUAGUGGUAAAGUACUUGCCUAGCAGGCAUGAAGCCUUGGGUUCGAUUCCUCAAUACCA
Molecule: transfer RNA, 69 nt
Filed under: Dipodomys ordii (Ord's kangaroo rat)
Lineage: Eukaryota; Metazoa; Chordata; Mammalia; Rodentia; Heteromyidae
Rfam family: tRNA
About the family: Transfer RNA (tRNA) molecules are approximately 80 nucleotides in length. Their secondary structure includes four short double-helical elements and three loops (D, anti-codon, and T loops).
Source: Rfam by way of RNAcentral